UCUCCCUCGCUAUUGAAGGUUCUUGUGGACGAUCGCCAGGACGAAGGCAGUCAACUCGCACUGUUGUUGAUGCUUCAGGAGGCAGGAAGCAGCUAUCAGUCAGAAAAAACAGCCUACGAUGCCGUAGAGUCGCUUAAAAGUGCAUUUGGUGCUUUGAGAAGAACGACUAGGUAUAAUGUCCAAAGCCAGACUUAAUCACCAUGACGACCAUCAUUCUGCCUCAUCAGUCUGCAGAUUACACUCAGCUGUAUGAACUGGUGGAACUUCUUCUUGAGAAUGUUGUCCAAGUGAAGCGAAACCACCCCUUGGUUCGAGCAGCUGGCUGCAGCUGUCUCAGGGAAAUCGAGAUUUUUCAU
This is a long non-coding RNA of Rhipicephalus sanguineus (brown dog tick), 356 nucleotides long. RefSeq lists it as uncharacterized. The record is from RefSeq and is a predicted model, not a curated record. Lineage: Eukaryota; Metazoa; Arthropoda; Arachnida; Ixodida; Ixodidae. The transcript has 3 exons.